This 273-nucleotide ribosomal RNA is filed under the name uncultured bacterium. Its description in RNAcentral is "partial 16S ribosomal RNA". It matches the Rfam family "Bacterial small subunit ribosomal RNA", at positions 524 to 796 of the family's 1533-position model. The record is from RNAcentral.
GACGAACCGUGCGAACGUUGUUCGGAAUCACUGGGCUUAAAGGGCGCGUAGGCGGGCCGGCAAGUCGGAGGUGAAAGCCCCCAGCUCAACUGGGGAAGUGCCCCCGAUACUGCCGGCCUGGAGGGGGGUAGGGGCGUGCGGAACUUCCGGUGGAGCGGUGAAAUGCGUAGAUAUCGGAAGGAACACCGGUGGCGAAGGCGGCACGCUGGGCCCACCCUGACGCUGAGGCGCGAAAGCCAGGGGAGCGAACGGGAUUAGAUACCCCCGUAGUCC